GAGGGGAAUGACAGGAAGACACAGCAGGUGAGGAAACAAUGAGAUGAAAUGAUCAGAACAGAACACAGACUGGCAGAAGACACAGAUAUAGAGACUGAAAGCAUUUGAUGACAUUUUGGAUUCGACUAAUUGUGAGAUGCUUGUGACUGUGUUAUCUGUAGCCAUGGUGAUGCUGACAGGUCACCUAAUGUAUGGGCUGCCUAUGGACGGAAAAAUGAGAAAUCCGAGGGCCCUUUCAGAAGACCUGUGUGAUCCAGGAUAUUACAAGAACGGCGAUACGUGUGCUCAAUGCAAGUCCGGUUUCUACACCAGUGAGAAAAACAGUGAGGAAAGUUGCCACCGCUGCUUCCAGAACUGCAUACCUGAAUUCAACAUGGAGGUGGAGAAGAAUUGCACAAGCACAUCAAAUUUAGUGUGUCGCUGUCGAGAGGGUUACGUUUGUUUGACCAAACCACACACACACCCAUGUGACAGCUGCGUUCCUGUCUCCACCACAAUCCCAUCCUCCACCUCUGCUGAUGUCCCAUCAUCCACUACAUCCACCACUUCAUCUACUAAAAUUAAACUGGGAAGGAAGAGAAGGAAUGUUUUAAACAUUUUGUCAGGCAGUGCUCGUUGGGCAAUAUGGAGGUGGACAGUGAGACUGCACCUCCUACUAGCCAACCAGAUGAGCAGCCCCAUGCCCAGGAGAUGCUGUCACAUGGCAGCACACCCACCAAUCACAACACAGACUGCUCGUUUCAUCAGCCAAUCAGCUCAGAGCAGGCUGUGCCUCCAGCUGGCAAUUUAGGUACUAUAAAUAGUUGCUUUUUGUAAUUUUCUUCUUUUAUGAAUAUUUGAUUUGACUGUGAAAUCAUGUAAAGUGGCCAAACCAAUAAACAUAAGCAUGCAGUAAAAAACAAAACAGAAAAUUAUAUUAUAAAGAGGAC
RNAcentral lists this long non-coding RNA (929 nucleotides) under Sinocyclocheilus grahami. RNAcentral's name for it is "lncRNA (ENSSGRG00000029834.1)". The record is from RNAcentral. Lineage: Eukaryota; Metazoa; Chordata; Actinopteri; Cypriniformes; Cyprinidae.